Molecule: ribosomal RNA, 253 nt
Filed under: uncultured bacterium
Lineage: Bacteria
Description: partial 16S ribosomal RNA
Rfam family: Bacterial small subunit ribosomal RNA
Source: RNAcentral
UACAGAGGUUGCAAGCGUUAAUCGGAUUUACUGGGCGUAAAGCGUGUGCAGGUGGCUGUACAAGUCGGUUGUGAAAUCCCUGGGCUCAACCCGGGAACUGCUUCCGAGACUGUACGGCUAGAGAUCGGUAGAGGGCGGUGGAAUUUCCGGUGUAGCGGUGAAAUGCGUAGAUAUCGGAAGGAACACCAAUGGCGAAGGCAGCCGCCUGGGCCUGAUCUGACACUGAGACACGAAAGCGUGGGGAUCAAACAGG